CCCUUGCAAUUGAAUUCUGUUCCAAUUAUAGAAGCCAUGACAGUAUGGCACGGACUUCAUGCUGCUAUCGAAAACUAGCAGAUUGACUAUCUGAUCCUGGAGAGAGAUUCUGCUACAAUAACCAAUUGGAUAAAUGGAAAGUCUUCUUCAUUACACCCAGCCAUUCAUAAUAUCAUUGCUACUACUCAAUGCCUUCAACAUUUCUCUUGCAACCAUAUUCUUAGAUAAGGGAACCAAACUAUAGAUUGUUUGGCAAAGGAAGCAAGCUUCCACCAGCCAGUAAGAAAAGCUAAAAAAUUCCGAGCUACCUUCAGAUCUAGCCAAUUUAAUCAUGGCAGAUGCAAGACCUAUAGGUGUCUUGUUUAAGUGUUCUUGUUCUAUUUUACCAAAGAAAAAACCACGAUCACUCAAUUACUUCAUCAAAGUCAUCAUAAAGUGUGUUGUUGCUGCAAGAC
Molecule: long non-coding RNA, 455 nt
Filed under: Elaeis guineensis (African oil palm)
Lineage: Eukaryota; Viridiplantae; Streptophyta; Magnoliopsida; Arecales; Arecaceae
Description: long non-coding RNA (EGUI_LNC003196)
Source: RNAcentral